Long non-coding RNA from Nilaparvata lugens (brown planthopper), 210 nucleotides. RefSeq lists it as uncharacterized. NCBI's taxonomy places the organism in Eukaryota, Metazoa, Arthropoda, Insecta, Hemiptera, Delphacidae. The transcript is spliced from 2 exons. The record is from RefSeq and is a predicted model, not a curated record.
GGAGGAGAGGGUGAAGGAGGAGGAGAAGGUCACCAAACCCUGAUACAUCCACCUAAUCACAUAAGAGAAUUUGAUUCAUGCAAUCAACAGAAGCAAUUCCAGAGGCACUAUAACAAUAAUCAUCAUCAUUAUAACCAACAUCCCCCAUACCACCAUCACUAUAAUAAUCAACAGGCAUAUCGGCGGAAUGAAUAUAACACAUAUCAAAAU